RNAcentral lists this ribosomal RNA (253 nucleotides) under uncultured bacterium. Its description in RNAcentral is "partial 16S ribosomal RNA". It matches the Rfam family "Bacterial small subunit ribosomal RNA", at positions 524 to 776 of the family's 1533-position model. The record is from RNAcentral.
GACAGAGGGUGCAAACGUUGCUCGGAAUUACUGGGCGUAAAGCGCGUGUAGGUGGAUUGGUGUGUCAGAUGUGAAAGCCCUGGGCUCAACCCAGGAACUGCACCUGAAACUACCAGUCUUGAGUGGUGGAGAGGGAAGUGGAAUUCCUGGUGUAAAGGUGAAAUUCGUAGAUAUCAGGAGGAACACCAGUGGCGAAGGCGGCUUCCUGGACACUAACUGACGCUGAGACGCGAAAGCGUGGGGAGCAAACAGG